Glycine soja is the source of this 459-nucleotide long non-coding RNA. RefSeq lists it as uncharacterized. The transcript is spliced from 3 exons. The record is from RefSeq and is a predicted model, not a curated record. Lineage: Eukaryota; Viridiplantae; Streptophyta; Magnoliopsida; Fabales; Fabaceae.
UGAGAAAAUGGCAUGCCAAAUCAUUAAGUCCUUUCUCUGUAAUCACCAAAUCUGGUUUAAACUUCAAUAUCUGCAUGCAGAGCUCCUCAAUGGGCAACUACAUCUUUGUUUAUCAUAACUCCUUUAAGAACUCUUGAAUCCUCCAGCUGCCCACCAGGGUAAGGUUAUGUACAUCAAAUUCCCCAACCCCAAGUAGGUGGGAGACUCAUGCAGUGAAUUUUCACAAGUCAGAAUGAAGAUAAAAGAAAAAAGAAGACAAAUUUGAAAUUUAAAAAUCUUGCCCAUGCAGUAGAGGAUACUCACAGCAACUAAAUCCCCAAAUUGACUAGUGAAUUUGGUACCUAUGCAGCUUUUGACUAUCCCCAGCAUUGUACCUCCUGCAGUUUUAUUCAUGUUAAGACUGUGUCAAAGAAGAAACUAAAUAUCAGUAGUUAUGUAUAUAUAUAAGGAUUUACUAAC